Molecule: ribosomal RNA, 213 nt
Filed under: uncultured bacterium
Lineage: Bacteria
Description: partial 16S ribosomal RNA
Rfam family: Bacterial small subunit ribosomal RNA
Source: RNAcentral
ACUGGGACAACUGGCCGAAAGGCUUGCUAAUACCAGAUAAGCCCACGGCGUCCUUGGACGCUGAGGGAAAAGGUGGCCUCUGCAUGCAAGCUAUCGCAGGGAGAUGAGUCCGCGGCCCAUCAGCUAGUUGGCGGGGUAAAAGCCCACCAAGGCUACGACGGGUAGCUGGUCUGAGAGGAUGAUCAGCCACACUGGAACUGAGACACGGUCCAG